GCUAGUAAUCGCGAAUCAGCAUGUCGCGGUGAAUACGUUCCCGGGCCUUGUACACACCGCCCGUCACACCAUGAGAGUUGGCAAUACCCAACGUACGUGAUCUAACCCGCAAGGGAGGAAGCGUCCUAAGGUAGGGUCAGCGACUGGGGUGAAGUCGUAACAAGGUACC
This 169-nucleotide ribosomal RNA is filed under the name uncultured bacterium. Its description in RNAcentral is "partial 16S ribosomal RNA". It matches the Rfam family "Bacterial small subunit ribosomal RNA", at positions 1334 to 1500 of the family's 1533-position model. The record is from RNAcentral.